ACAUGUCAAUUCCGUGACGGUAACAGCAUCCAGUCUUGCUGGAAUGCUGACGAGCGGCGGUACGGGUGAGUAAUGCUUAGGAAUCUGCCCAGUAGUGGGGGGUAGCCCGGGGAAACCCGGAUUAAUACCGCAUACGUCCUACGGGAGAAAGCAGGGGAUCUUCGGACCUUGCGCUAUUGGAUGAGCCUAAGUCGGAUUAGCUGGUUGGUGGGGUAAAGACCUACCAAGGCGACGAUCCGUAGCUGGUUUGAGAGGAUGAUCAGCCACAUCGGGACUGAGACACGGCCCGAACUCCUACGGGAGGCAGCAGUGGGGAAUAUUGGACAAUGGGGGCAAGCCUGAUCCAGCCAUGCCGCGUGUGUGAAGAAGGCCCUCGGGUUGUAAAGCACUUUCAGCGAGGAAGAACGCCUGGCGGUUAAUACCCGCCAGGAAAGACAUCACUCGCAGAAGAAGCACCGGCUAACUCCGUGCCAGCAGCCGCGGUAAUACGGAGGGUGCAAGCGUUAAUCGGAAUUACUGGGCGUAAAGCGCGCGUAGGUGGCUUGAUGAGCCGGUUGUGAAAGCCCCGGGCUCAACCUGGGAACGGCAUCCGGAACUGUCAGACUAGAGUGCAGGAGAGGAAGGUAGAAUUCCCGGUGUAGCGGUGAAAUGCGUAGAGAUCGGGAGGAAUACCAGUGGCGAAGGCGGCCUUCUGGACUGACACUGACACUGAGGUGCGAAA
RNAcentral lists this ribosomal RNA (721 nucleotides) under uncultured bacterium. Its description in RNAcentral is "bacterial SSU rRNA". It matches the Rfam family "Bacterial small subunit ribosomal RNA", at positions 53 to 758 of the family's 1533-position model. The record is from RNAcentral.